UUUAUGGGCCUAACUAUCUGGGCCUUUUUAUAGUACGGCCUCGGUUUAUAAGCAGCCCCUCAGAGCGUAAAAUAAAAAGCCAUAUUAUUAUUUUUAUUUUUUGUAGUAGAAGUUCUUAUGUGAGCGAUUAAAUGCAUAUUGAUCAUAAAUUUAGAGUUGUUAUGUUUCUUACCGACGGUUAUGAUUUGGUGAAAAUAGUGUCUUCUCAUACUGAGUGACCAACUUUCUUUGUUUUCCUGAAUGAUAUCAACAGUGAUAGGAAAUAAUUCUUAUUUUUUUUCUUCUAUCUAAAAAUUUGAAUGUAAAAACGGAUUAUUGGGCACAUCAAAUUCGUUCUAUUCUGUAUUUUGUCAAGUAUAUAAACAAUUGUUUUUCGACUU
RNAcentral lists this long non-coding RNA (380 nucleotides) under Capsella rubella. RNAcentral's name for it is "long non-coding RNA (CRUB_LNC001970)". Lineage: Eukaryota; Viridiplantae; Streptophyta; Magnoliopsida; Brassicales; Brassicaceae. The record is from RNAcentral.